RNAcentral lists this ribosomal RNA (109 nucleotides) under Aotus nancymaae (Ma's night monkey). The record is from RNAcentral. Lineage: Eukaryota; Metazoa; Chordata; Mammalia; Primates; Aotidae.
GUCUACAGCCAUUCCACCCUGAACACACACGAUCUCAGAAGCUAAGCAGGGUUGGGCCUGGUUAGUACUUGGAUGCGAGACUGCCUGGGAAUGCUGGGUGCUAUAUGCU